GAUGAACGCUAGCUACAGGCUUAACACAUGCAAGUCGAGGGGUAACGAGAGGAAAGCUUGCUUUCCUUGUCGAAGACCGGCGCACGGGUGAGUAACGCGUAUCCAACCUGCCCCCAACUAGGGAAUAACAUUGCGAAAGUAAGACUAAUACCCUAUAAUUUCCUCAGAUGUCAUCUGACGAGGAAUAAAGAUUUAUCGGUCGUGGAUGGGGAUGCGUCUGAUUAGCUUGUUGGCGGGGUAACGGCCCACCAAGGCAACGAUCAGUAGUGGUUCUGAGAGGAAGGUCCCCCACAUUGGAACUGAGACACGGUCCAAACUCCUACGGGAGGCAGCAGUGAGGAAUAUUGGUCAAUGGGCGGAAGCCUGAACCAGCCAAGUAGCGUGCAGGAUGACGGCCCUAUGGGUUGUAAACUGCUUUUAUACAGGAAUAAAGUUAGCCACGUGUGGUUAUUUGUAGGUACUGUAUGAAUAAGGACCGGCUAAUUCCGUGCCAGCCGCCGCCGUAA
RNAcentral lists this ribosomal RNA (506 nucleotides) under uncultured bacterium. Its description in RNAcentral is "partial 16S ribosomal RNA". It matches the Rfam family "Bacterial small subunit ribosomal RNA", at positions 28 to 523 of the family's 1533-position model. The record is from RNAcentral.